UACAGAGGGGGCGAGCGUUGUUCGGAAUUACUGGGCGUAAAGGGCGCGUAGGCGGCCAACUAAGUCACACGUGAAAUCCCCAGGCUUAACCUGGGAACUGCGUGUGAUACUGGAUGGCUUGAAUCCGGGAGAGGGAUGCGGAAUUCCAGGUGUAGCGGUGAAAUGCGUAGAUAUCUGGAGGAACACCGGUGGCGAAGGCGGCAUCCUGGACCGGUAUUGACGCUGAUGAGCGAAAGCCAGGGGAGCAAACGGG
Molecule: ribosomal RNA, 253 nt
Filed under: uncultured bacterium
Lineage: Bacteria
Description: partial 16S ribosomal RNA
Rfam family: Bacterial small subunit ribosomal RNA
Source: RNAcentral